Molecule: long non-coding RNA, 318 nt
Organism: Rattus norvegicus (Norway rat)
Lineage: Eukaryota; Metazoa; Chordata; Mammalia; Rodentia; Muridae
Source: RefSeq, a predicted model, not a curated record
CAGCCCUUGGGUGGAGGCUUGUACUUGGCCUAAGGGGUGCAGCGGCGGGUAGCUGGGGCGUCUAGAGAAGGGAGGGGGAUGUAUGGUAGAGCAGGGAGCGCCUGGGUCCCCGAGGCAGCCCCUAGUGAGCCCGAGGUAUUUUCCUUAUAUGAUCAGGCCUCUCCUAGCCGGCGCUGCUGGUCUGGAGCCUGAGAGGAUUAUGAAAACGUGGCAGGGUUACCUGCUGUUCUGAAACUCCUGUAGACUAGGCUAAGAAUUAUGUGAUUCGCCUAAAUACUGGGAUUAAAGGGGAUUAAAGGCGUGCUUCACCACACCUGG